Molecule: transfer RNA, 62 nt
Filed under: Lucanus cervus
Lineage: Eukaryota; Metazoa; Arthropoda; Insecta; Coleoptera; Lucanidae
Also listed under: 1 other name
Description: tRNA-Glu
Source: RNAcentral
AUUUAUAUAGUUUAUAUAAAACCUUACAUUUUCAUUGUAAAAAAAGAUUUGUCUUAUAAAUA